RNAcentral lists this transfer RNA (90 nucleotides) under Rhodotorula toruloides. Its description in RNAcentral is "tRNA-Ala". It matches the Rfam family "tRNA". Rfam says of the family: Transfer RNA (tRNA) molecules are approximately 80 nucleotides in length. Their secondary structure includes four short double-helical elements and three loops (D, anti-codon, and T loops). Lineage: Eukaryota; Fungi; Basidiomycota; Microbotryomycetes; Sporidiobolales; Sporidiobolaceae. The record is from RNAcentral.
GGGGAUCUAGCUCAUCGGUAGAGCGCUCGCUUAGCAUGUUUCCAGCCGCGGAACUGCGAGAGGCGCAGGGUUCGACUCCCUGGUUCUCCA